Molecule: small nuclear RNA, 18 nt
Filed under: Arabidopsis thaliana (thale cress)
Lineage: Eukaryota; Viridiplantae; Streptophyta; Magnoliopsida; Brassicales; Brassicaceae
Description: snRNA_04799
Source: RNAcentral
CGGUCGUACUCAUAACCG